This 665-nucleotide long non-coding RNA is filed under the name Helianthus annuus (common sunflower). Lineage: Eukaryota; Viridiplantae; Streptophyta; Magnoliopsida; Asterales; Asteraceae. The record is from RNAcentral.
GACUGACUCUAGUCCGACUUUGAAAGACUUAAUAUAAAUGGACCCCGGCAAAGUAAAUACCACUACUUAACGUAUUACUUAUCCGGAAUCGGAAGGCAACGCCCUCUUUGACCCAAGCCGCCUCCGGUCAUCCGGCGGAAACAUGUCAGGUGGGAUUGCUGGGCCACAUCUUAAAAAUAACCAGGUCCAAAUGACUCAACGAAACAAAAUCUCGUUAAACAGAAGGUAAAACCUUAUUCGAUUCCAUACGAAACGAACCGUAAAGCGCCUAACAUCCUUAACCUCGAAUUGAACUAAGUCAAAAAGUACCACAGAUAACGCUUGCACCAACGUCAUAGCGACGUGCUUUGAUCCUCGAUUCGCUCUCCUACAUGUAACAGAAUUCACCAAGUGAUGUUCACCCACCAAUAGGAACGUGACUGGUAACCGUCGUGAACAGUAUUUACCCUACUGAUAAGUUCGCAAUAGUAAUUCAACCUAGUACGAAGAACCGUUGAUCCACAAUGUCACGCGCUGGUUAAAAGCCAUGCCGAAGCACCGUCGCUGGAUAGACGAACCCUCUAAUCAAAUCCGGGCUAGAACACCGUGCCCGCGCCUUGCCGACCAGCAUAGCCUCGCCCCCAAAGCACUUCGUAGCAAGCUCGCGGCGACAGCCCCGGCCCCUG